This 356-nucleotide RNase P RNA is filed under the name Alysiella sp. RNAcentral describes it as "RNase P RNA component class A". It matches the Rfam family "Bacterial RNase P class A". Rfam says of the family: Ribonuclease P (RNase P) is a ubiquitous endoribonuclease, found in archaea, bacteria and eukarya as well as chloroplasts and mitochondria. Its best characterised activity is the generation of mature 5'-ends of tRNAs by cleaving the 5'-leader elements of precursor-tRNAs. The record is from RNAcentral. Lineage: Bacteria; Pseudomonadati; Pseudomonadota; Betaproteobacteria; Neisseriales; Neisseriaceae.
CAGGUAAGACAGACAGUCGCCGCGUGGCAACACGGGGAGGAAAGUCCGGGCUACACAGAGCAAGAUGCCAGCUAACGGCUGGGCGCGGUAACGCGACGGAAAGUGAAACAGAAAGCCAAACCGCCGAUGACUGCCUGAAAAGGCAGAACAGGUAAGGGUGAAAAGGUGUGGUAAGAGCGCACCGUGCGCUUGGUAACAAGUUGCAGCAGGUCAAACCCCAUUUGUAGCAAGACCAAACAGAACACAUUGACGCUGCUCGCCGAGUGUUCGGGUAGGUUGCUUGAACCACUUGGUAACGGGUGGUCUAGAUGAAUGACUGUCCACGACAGAACCCGGCUUAUCGUUUUGCCUGUAAU